AGCUGGAAUCGCUAGUAAUCGCGGAUCAGAAUGCCGCGGUGAAUACGUUCCCGGGUCUUGUACACACCGCCCGUCACACCAUGGGAGUCAGUAACGCCCGAAGCCGGUGACCCAACCUAACCAGGGAGGGAGCCGUCGAAGGCGGGGACGGAUGACUGGGGUGAAGUCGUAACAAGGUAUC
This 181-nucleotide ribosomal RNA is filed under the name uncultured bacterium. RNAcentral's name for it is "partial 16S ribosomal RNA". It matches the Rfam family "Bacterial small subunit ribosomal RNA", at positions 1324 to 1500 of the family's 1533-position model. The record is from RNAcentral.